UGCCGUGGUGUUUGUUAAACAUUUUCAGCUCCCCUCGCUCCGCGUCAACAGCAAACGCAGCACUUCGGCCCCAAAUCUAGCUGAAACGGAGCAAAAACGUCUUCAAGAUGAGGCGGCCAGUUCGGCAGAACGGGAUGAUGUGAUGGCCGAGUCAUCGUUCAACAGUCCCACAUCACCGCAUUCACCAUCGCUCAACAGCUUCUCAAAGCAGCCGCGUGGAAGUCUUAAGAAAAUUUUCGAUAAAUUAAAACGGGCUAAUUCUGGCGCUCUUGAAGGUGAUCCAUCGACACCUCUCUCAACCGAAGAUUUCCG
Daphnia pulicaria is the source of this 312-nucleotide long non-coding RNA. RefSeq lists it as uncharacterized. The transcript has 3 exons. The record is from RefSeq and is a predicted model, not a curated record. NCBI's taxonomy places the organism in Eukaryota, Metazoa, Arthropoda, Branchiopoda, Diplostraca, Daphniidae.